This 253-nucleotide ribosomal RNA is filed under the name uncultured bacterium. Its description in RNAcentral is "partial 16S ribosomal RNA". It matches the Rfam family "Bacterial small subunit ribosomal RNA", at positions 524 to 776 of the family's 1533-position model. The record is from RNAcentral.
UACGUAGGGCGCAAGCGUUAUCCGGAAUUAUUGGGCGUAAAGAGCUCGUAGGCGGUUUGUCGCGUCUGCCGUGAAAGUCCGGGGCUCAACUCCGGAUCUGCGGUGGGUACGGGCAGACUAGAGUGAUGUAGGGGAGACUGGAAUUCCUGGUGUAGCGGUGAAAAUGCGCAGAUAUCAGGAGGAACACCGAUGGCGAAGGCGGGUCUCUGGGCCAUAACUGACGUGAGGAGCGAAAGCAUGGGGAGCGAACAGG